CCUACUUUCAGCAUAUACAUCAUCUGUAUACUCUGCCACUGGCAGCACAGAUUCCUCACACUCACAGCACAUAAGAAAGUAACUGAAAGCAAACAAAACACAUGGUUCUUCUGAUUUUUUAUUCCUCACUGUCACAGAAGAGGAUGUGGCCCUUUUGAUUUCACAUGGUUGUAUUGCAGCAUGAAUAGCUACAGGUCUAAUUAAUCACAUCAUUUAGGUACUGAUGCAGAGCAAAGACUGAAUACUGCUUAGCAGAGUACAUAAGAAAGAAAGCCAAGCCAGCGAGGGGAAUCAGGACGGCAGUACCUUCACGAUGCUGUCGACGGUGCCGCGGUGGUCGGGGAAGUUCUCGACGGCCGCCGUAUUAGGAAGGUCUGCGCCUGCGCGGCGAGCAGCAUGUAGAGGCAGACUAGCGGGAUCGGGGCCGGCGCGGCCACGGAGACGGCGAGCUAGCAACAUGGGAAGGUACCCGGGAGCGCAGAGCGCGGCGCCGGCGAGGAGGACGAUGCAGGGGCGUCAGAGGCCCCCGGGGUCCUACGCGGAGAGGAAGCAGUAGCUGCCCCCUGCGAAGCUGGAUUAGCGCGCUCGCCGCCAGCGCCGACCACCGGCCCACCGCGUCCCUCGCCCCGCCGGAACAGAGGAGGAAAAAACAAAGCUUAUUUU
This 663-nucleotide ribosomal RNA is filed under the name Triticum aestivum (bread wheat). RNAcentral's name for it is "partial small subunit ribosomal RNA". Lineage: Eukaryota; Viridiplantae; Streptophyta; Magnoliopsida; Poales; Poaceae. The record is from RNAcentral.